GUCUAAUGGCUCUCCUUUAAAUUUCUUUAUGGAACUUUAAAGUUUGUUAUCCAACACUAGCGUUGAAAUAUAAAUGAAAAAUAUACUCAAACAAGAAUAUUUGUCCAUUAAAGGGACAAUAGCUGCCAAACGUAUGCCCAUCUAAUUUAUUUUGAACUGUCAAAUUAAAUUGAAUAUAUGUUGAAACGUAAUUUACUACAGAACCUUAAAGAAUAAUACAUGAUGUUUGAUUCGUUAUAAAGUACCAGCAUUUCGUGAAUGUUGCUGACUAUUCCAUCUACCAUCAUCACCCAUAAAGACAGUCCAUUGGCAUAUGGCCCCAUUAUGACUAUAAAUAUAAACGAUUUACUCUGAAAUACACAUAGACAGGUAAGCACGUGCAAUAAUAUAACGUCAACGUUCACAUUAUAGUUGAUGUGCUUCCCUCGGUUUUGAGUUGUGCCCC
This 445-nucleotide long non-coding RNA is filed under the name Mytilus galloprovincialis (Mediterranean mussel). Lineage: Eukaryota; Metazoa; Mollusca; Bivalvia; Mytilida; Mytilidae. The record is from RNAcentral.